RNAcentral lists this ribosomal RNA (134 nucleotides) under uncultured eukaryote. RNAcentral describes it as "partial small subunit ribosomal RNA". It matches the Rfam family "Eukaryotic small subunit ribosomal RNA", at positions 1651 to 1784 of the family's 1831-position model. The record is from RNAcentral.
CCCUGCCAUUUGUACACACCGCCCGUCGCACCUACCGAUUGAAUGAUUCGGUGAAACUUUCGGACCGACGCCAAGUGGCCCUCGGGCUCCUUGAUGUUGGGAAGUUAUUUAAACCUCAUCAUUUAGAGGAAGGU